RNAcentral lists this non-coding RNA (115 nucleotides) under Larimichthys crocea (large yellow croaker). RNAcentral describes it as "Eukaryotic large subunit ribosomal RNA". It matches the Rfam family "Eukaryotic large subunit ribosomal RNA", at positions 2875 to 2984 of the family's 3401-position model. The record is from Rfam by way of RNAcentral. Lineage: Eukaryota; Metazoa; Chordata; Actinopteri; Sciaenidae.
CCUUCGAUGUCGGCUCUUCCUAUCAUUGUGAAGCUGAAUUCACCAAGCGUUGGAUUGUUCAACCACUAAUAGGGAACGUGAGCUGGGUUAACUUUAGACCGUCGUGAGACAGGUU